GCGGGUGUAGCUCAGUCGGUAGAGCUUCAGCCUUCCAAGCUGAAUGUCGCCGGUUCGAUCCCGGUCGCCCGCUCCA
This 76-nucleotide transfer RNA is filed under the name Pseudomonadota bacterium. RNAcentral's name for it is "tRNA-Gly". It matches the Rfam family "tRNA". Rfam says of the family: Transfer RNA (tRNA) molecules are approximately 80 nucleotides in length. Their secondary structure includes four short double-helical elements and three loops (D, anti-codon, and T loops). Lineage: Bacteria; Pseudomonadati; Pseudomonadota. RNAcentral also lists the same sequence under 2 other names. The record is from RNAcentral.